This 973-nucleotide long non-coding RNA is filed under the name Equus caballus (horse). RNAcentral describes it as "lncRNA (ENSECAG00000054246.1)". Lineage: Eukaryota; Metazoa; Chordata; Mammalia; Perissodactyla; Equidae. The record is from RNAcentral.
GGAAUUCUGGGAGUGCUGCUAAUAUUUGGGGGCCAAGGUGAUUAGGGAACAUGAAGCACAGCGUUGUUCUAGUAAGCACAGGGUCCUCAGACCCUGCUCUUCAGAUUAAUACCUUUCCUUUGGUUUUAGCAGCACUAUUUCAAAGUGUAAUGUUUUGCCAGACACAGAGACAGCACACAGCUGGACUCUUUUCCUUUCCCAGUUUUCAGGCCCCUUCAGUUUCUUUCUUUUCUUUUCUUUUUUUUUUAGGAGGAUUAGCCCUGACCUAACUACUGCCAAUCCUCCACUUUUUGCUGAGGAACACUGGCCCAGAGCUAACAUCCAUGCCCAUCUUCCUCUACUUUAUACGUGGGAUGCCUACCACAGCAUGGCAUGCCCAGCAGUGCCAUGUCCGCACCCGGGAUCUGAACCGACUCUGCAAGCUUCUUCCUUAUCCUUGAUCAUCAGUGGUCUAAUCUGAAUUCCAUGAUAAAGAGAUGCUUCAUGGGGGCUGGCACAAGCAUGGGACAGAGGAAACACUGCAAAGUCACUUAGCCAGUGCCUACACCCAAGAAGAAAUCAUGACCUGAAGUGACCUCAGAACCAAAGAUCCUCCCCACGGAACCCAAGGACAGGGGCACAACUAGAACUUGAAAGCUGGACUCUUAUCAGAAGAAAGGGCUCCCUCCUUCAGGAAGAUCCGGUGUUAAUGUUCCCUCUGCCCCUCAUCAUAAAUGUUUAGAACCCUGUCAUAAAUGUUUAAAACCUUGCCAUAAAUGUUUGAAGCCCACCAAUCAAAGCCUGUGCCGUGAGUGUUUCCACAUGCCAACCUGUUCUCCCUAACCUCUUAAAUUUCACCCCAAAUCUUGAAUUAGGGAGACAGAUAUGAGGGCACACACACCCCAUGUCCCUGUAGAUCAAUAUCACAGAAUAAAAGCUGAUUUCUCCCCCAAAGGCUGAUGCCAUAAUUAAUUGGCUUGUUAAUGCACAUUGG